CUCAGGAUGAACGCUGGCGGCGUGCCUAACACAUGCAAGUCGUACGAGCUCGAUCUUCGGAACGGGUUAGUGGCGCACGGGUGAGUAACACGUAGGUGACCUACCCCAGAGUGGGGGAUAACUUCUCGAAAGAGGGGCUAAUACCGCAUACACUCGGUCAUUCAUUUGGCCGAGCAAAGCUCCGGCGCUUUGGGACGGGCCUGCGUCCGAUUAGCUAGUUGGUAGGGUAAUGGCUUACCAAGGCUUUGAUCGGUAGCUGGUCUGAGAGGACGAUCAGCCACACUGGCACUGACACACGGGCCAGACUCCUACGGGAGGCAGCAGUGAGGAAUAUUGGGCAAUGGGCGAAAGCCUGACCCAGCAACGCCGCGUGAGGGAUGAAGGCCUUCGGGUUGUAAACCUCUUUUCUGGGAGAAGAGACAAGGACGGUAUCCCAGGAAUAAGUCUCGGCUAACUACGUG
RNAcentral lists this ribosomal RNA (461 nucleotides) under uncultured bacterium. RNAcentral's name for it is "bacterial SSU rRNA". It matches the Rfam family "Bacterial small subunit ribosomal RNA", at positions 23 to 507 of the family's 1533-position model. The record is from RNAcentral.